UGGGGAAUAUUGGACAAUGGGCGAAAGCCUGAUCCAGCCAUGCCGCGUGAGUGAUGAAGGCCCUAGGGUUGUAAAGCUCUUUCACCGGUGAAGAUAAUGACGGUAACCGGAGAAGAAGCCCCGGCUAACUUCGUGCC
This 137-nucleotide ribosomal RNA is filed under the name uncultured bacterium. RNAcentral's name for it is "partial 16S ribosomal RNA". It matches the Rfam family "Bacterial small subunit ribosomal RNA", at positions 355 to 509 of the family's 1533-position model. The record is from RNAcentral.